AGUGAACGCUGGCGGCAGGCCUAACACAUGCAAGUCGAACGGCAGCACAAGAGAGCUUGCUCUCUGGGUGGCGAGUGGCGGACGGGUGAGGAAUGCAUCGGAAUCUGCCCAUUUGUGGGGGAUAACCUCGGGGAACCGGGACUAAUACCGCAUACGACCUACGGGUGAAAGCAGGGGAUCUUCGGACCUUGCGCAGAUGGAUGAGCCGAUGCCGGAUUAGCUAGUUGGAGGGGUAAAGGCCCACCAAGGCGACGAUCCGUAGCUGGUCUGAGAGGAUGAUCAGCCACACUGGGACUGAGACACGGCCCAGACUCCUACGGGAGGCAGCAGUGGGGAAUAUUGGACAAUAGGCGCAAGCCUGAUCCAGCCAUGCCGCGUGUGUGAAGAAGGCCUUCGGGUUGUAAAGCACUUUUGUUGGGAAAGAAAAGCAGCCGGUUAAUACCCGGUUGUCAUGACGGUACCCAAAGAAUAAGCACCGGCUAACUUCGUG
This 490-nucleotide ribosomal RNA is filed under the name uncultured bacterium. RNAcentral's name for it is "partial 16S ribosomal RNA". It matches the Rfam family "Bacterial small subunit ribosomal RNA", at positions 29 to 507 of the family's 1533-position model. The record is from RNAcentral.